AAUUUCGUGAAAUGCAAGUAUUUCUUCUGUAAUGGUAAAAUAGGAAGAAUGCUUAACUAGGAUGCUUCAAGCAGGUUUCCUGCUUAUCACCCAUAUGAAACCUAACAUAUGAUUUUUUAUUUACAAUAAUAUAUAUGCAUUUUCCUAUAAAUAUUGGGGAAGUAAACUUUUGGUGCUUUAGAAACAACCCUGCACAUAUAUAUCAGGUGACGUAUUGGCUUGCAGGUAUGCUCCGGCUAGGUUGUUUCUUCUCUUCCUUAGGCUAUGGUUGCAACCUUUGGCUGCUAUGUUGGUUUUGAUGUAUUUGCUUUUUUAUAAGCUUAUAGUUUGAAAAACUAUAUACAAUGAUUCCUAAUUUGAUGCCAAUAGCUCGUGUGAGCAUCCACAGUGAUGGGUUCUUGUGCGGAUUAUCAGAGGCAGCAGCACCGUCGUGGAGUACAUGUACAUCAAUGUCGACGGUGCCGGCAGCAACGACACAAGGUGGGCGAUUUGACCAGCGCAACAUUCUUAUUUGAGGAGCUGUGCGCAGUUCUGAAAAAAUUAAGUUGUGCUUGGUGACAUGCCUCAUUUCUGUGGUUGAAUAUUUGGUAAUUAGAUACUAUAAUUUCCUUUACUGGGUACAUGUGAAUAUUAGUUCGCACAAUUCAUUUGGUAACUAAAACUUUUAAUUAGAACUCCAUUUUAUGAUAUAGUGUUACCAUUUUCUCCCUUGCUGUGGAAAGCCACCAGCUUCAGGGAGUGCCAGGCUUCCACACAGCCAGAACAGACGCCACCUUUGGCAGGGAGCGUGAGGAUUUGGCUUGUCGAUACGAGUGAUAGCAGCGCCAUCUGCAGAUUCC
This is a long non-coding RNA of Triticum aestivum (bread wheat), 839 nucleotides long. RefSeq lists it as uncharacterized. The record is from RefSeq and is a predicted model, not a curated record. Lineage: Eukaryota; Viridiplantae; Streptophyta; Magnoliopsida; Poales; Poaceae. The transcript has 2 exons.